Molecule: ribosomal RNA, 276 nt
Filed under: Salmonella enterica subsp. enterica serovar Amager
Lineage: Bacteria; Pseudomonadati; Pseudomonadota; Gammaproteobacteria; Enterobacterales; Enterobacteriaceae
Description: partial 23S ribosomal RNA
Rfam family: Bacterial large subunit ribosomal RNA
Source: RNAcentral
UGCCCUGGCAGUCAGAGGCGAUGAAGGGCGUGCUAAUCUGCGAUAAGCGCCGGUAAGGUGAUAUGAACCGUUAUAACCGGCGAUACCCGAAUGGGGAAACCCAGUGUGAUUCGUCACACUAUCAUUACGUGAAUACAUAGCGUAAUGAAGCGAACCGGGGGAACUGAAACAUCUAAGUACCCCGAGGAAAAGAAAUCAACCGAGAUUCCCCCAGUAGCGGCGAGCGAACGGGGAGGAGCCCAGAGCCUGAAUCAGCAUGUGUGUUAGUGGAAGCGU